Molecule: ribosomal RNA, 253 nt
Filed under: uncultured bacterium
Lineage: Bacteria
Description: partial 16S ribosomal RNA
Rfam family: Bacterial small subunit ribosomal RNA
Source: RNAcentral
UACGUAGGGGGCUAGCGUUGUCCGGAUUUAUUGGGCGUAAAGCGCGUGUAGGCGGCCAGGUAGGUCCGCUGUGAAAACCCGAGGCUCAACCUCGGGCCUGCAGUGGGUACGGGCAGACUAGAGUGCGGUAGGGGAGAUUGGAAUUCCUGGUGUAGCGGUGGAAUGCGCAGAUAUCAGGAGGAACACCAAUGGCGAAGGCAGAUCUCUGGGCCGUAACUGACGCUGAGGAGCGAAAGCAUGGGGAGCGAACAGG